Unclassified non-coding RNA from Cyanistes caeruleus (blue tit), 161 nucleotides. NCBI's taxonomy places the organism in Eukaryota, Metazoa, Chordata, Aves, Passeriformes, Paridae. The record is from Ensembl.
UAGCUUGAAAUCUUUUCUACUUGUCCAUAGGCUAGGUACAGCAUGUGAAGUGGCAGUGCACGCUUCCUCAACAAGUGCUUUGCCAAUAUGCCUCAACCUCAUCUGAAAGGACCCACCUCUAGAGGUGAGGGAAUUGGGUCUCCAUGCUAAUCCAGUUCAUG